AGUCUGGUGCCAGCAGCCGCGGUAAUUCCAGCUCCAAUAGCGUAUACUAAAAUUGUUGCGGUUAAAUAUUUUGAAUAUUUCGUGCAUGGAAUAAUAGAAUAUGAUCUCGGUUCUAUUUUGUUGGUUUUCAGAACUCCGAGGUAAUGAUUAAUAGGGAUAACUGGGGGCAUUCGUAUUGCGACGUUAGAGGUGAAAUUUUUGGAUCGUCGCAAGACGAACAUCAGCGAAAGCAUUUGCCAAAGGUGUUUUCAUCAAUCAAGAACGAAAGUUCGGUUCAGUUCGGAACGGAGGUUCGAAGGCGAUUAGAUACCGCCCUAGUUCUAACCGUAAAUAUGUCAUCUAGCGAUCCGCCGACGUUACUACAAUGGCUCGGCGGGCAGCUUCCGGGAAACCAAAGAUUUUGGACUCCGGGGGGAGUAUGGUUGCAAAGCUGAAACUUAAAGGAAUUGACGGAAGGGCACCACCAGGAGUGGAGCCUGCGGCUUAAUUUGACUCAACACGGGAAAUCUCACCAGGCCCGGGCACCGGAAGGAUUGACAGAUUAACAGCUCUUUCUUGAUUCGGUGGGUGGUGGUGCAUGGCCGUUCUUAGUUGGUGGAGCGAUUUGUCUGGUUAAUUCCGGUAACGAACGAGACUCUAGCCUGCUAAAUAGGCGUCGUCAUUUAGGUGUGCGCGGCUUCAGGGUCGCGCAACUCACUGGCGGCGUAUUAAAAUUCUUCUUAGAGGGACCGGCGGCUUCGAGCCGCACGAGAUUGAGCAAUAACAGGUCUGUGAUGCCCUUAGAUGUCCUGGGCCGCACGCGCGCUACACUGAAGGAAUCAACAUGUUCUCCCUGGCCUAGAGGCCCGGGCAACCCGUUGAAACUCCUUCGUGCUGGGGAUUGGGGUUUGCAAUUAUCCCCCAUAAACGAGGAAUUCCUAGUAAGCGCGAGUCAUAAGCUCGCGUUGAUUACGUCCCUGCCCUUUGUACACACCGCCCGUCGCUACUACCGAUUGAAUGAUUUAGUGAGGUCUUCGGACCGACACGCGGUGGCUUCGCGGCCGUCGGCGUUGCUGGGAAGUUGACCAAACUUGAUCAUUUAGAGGAAGUAAAAGUCGUAACAAGGUUUCCGUAGGGGAACCUGCGGAAG
RNAcentral lists this ribosomal RNA (1129 nucleotides) under Leptidea sinapis. Its description in RNAcentral is "bacterial SSU rRNA". It matches the Rfam family "Eukaryotic small subunit ribosomal RNA", at positions 558 to 1823 of the family's 1831-position model. Lineage: Eukaryota; Metazoa; Arthropoda; Insecta; Lepidoptera; Pieridae. The record is from RNAcentral.